GACGAAGGGGGCUAGCGUUGUUCGGAAUUACUGGGCGUAAAGCGCGUGUAGGCGGUUUGCCAAGUCGGGUGUGAAAGCCUUGGGCUUAACCCAAGAAAUGCACUCGGUACUGGCAGACUAGAGGACCGGGGAGGAUAGUGGAAUUCCCAGUGUAGUGGUGAAAUACGUAGAGAUUGGGAAGAACACCAGUGGCGAAGGCGGCUAUCUGGACGGUUUCUGACGCUAAGACGCGAAAGCGUGGGGAGCAAACAGG
RNAcentral lists this ribosomal RNA (253 nucleotides) under uncultured bacterium. RNAcentral describes it as "partial 16S ribosomal RNA". It matches the Rfam family "Bacterial small subunit ribosomal RNA", at positions 524 to 776 of the family's 1533-position model. The record is from RNAcentral.